Molecule: transfer RNA, 72 nt
Filed under: Toxocara canis (dog roundworm)
Lineage: Eukaryota; Metazoa; Nematoda; Chromadorea; Rhabditida; Toxocaridae
Rfam family: tRNA
About the family: Transfer RNA (tRNA) molecules are approximately 80 nucleotides in length.
Source: Rfam by way of RNAcentral
GCGGCAAUAGCUCGGUGGUAGAGCCCCCUCCUCGAGUGCGAGGAGACCCGGGUUCGACUCCCGGCUGCUUCC